This 240-nucleotide unclassified non-coding RNA is filed under the name soil metagenome. Its description in RNAcentral is "partial contains 5.8S ribosomal RNA, internal transcribed spacer 2, and large subunit ribosomal RNA". The record is from RNAcentral.
AACAUCGCGCACCUGCGGGAACCUGCGGAGGGAUCAUUACAGAGUUGCAAGACUCCCUAAACCAUUGUGAACGUUACCUAAACCGUUGCUUCGGCGGGCGGCCCGGGUCCUUCCCGGCGCCCCUCGGCCCUCGCGGGCGCCCGCCGGAGGUAAACCAAACUAUUGCAUUGUAUGGCCUCUCUGAGUCUUCUGUACUGAAUAAGUCAAAACUUUUAACAACGGAUCUCAGAUCGGAAGAGC